GCCUCCAUGGUCAAGUGGCCUAAGACGUCGCCCUCUCACGGCGAAAACUGGGGUUCGAAUCCCCAUGGAGGUG
RNAcentral lists this transfer RNA (73 nucleotides) under Candidatus Fimadaptatus faecigallinarum. RNAcentral describes it as "tRNA-Glu". It matches the Rfam family "tRNA". Rfam says of the family: Transfer RNA (tRNA) molecules are approximately 80 nucleotides in length. Their secondary structure includes four short double-helical elements and three loops (D, anti-codon, and T loops). Further hydrogen bonds mediate the characteristic L-shaped molecular structure. tRNAs have two regions of fundamental functional importance: the anti-codon, which is responsible for specific mRNA codon recognition, and the 3' end, to which the tRNAs corresponding amino acid is attached (by aminoacyl-tRNA synthetases). tRNAs cope with the degeneracy of the genetic code in two manners: having more than one tRNA (with a specific anti-codon) for a particular amino acid; and 'wobble' base-pairing, i.e. permitting non-standard base-pairing at the 3rd anti-codon position. The record is from RNAcentral. Lineage: Bacteria; Bacillati; Bacillota; Clostridia; Eubacteriales. RNAcentral also lists the same sequence under 1 other name.